AAUCGACUAGGCGAUUUAAAAUAGGUGUUAAGCCUAGUGCGGCAGGGUUCUUCCCUGCAUCACA
RNAcentral lists this ribozyme (64 nucleotides) under Erysipelotrichaceae bacterium 2_2_44A. Its description in RNAcentral is "Pistol ribozyme". It matches the Rfam family "Pistol ribozyme". The record is from Rfam by way of RNAcentral. Lineage: Bacteria; Bacillati; Bacillota; Erysipelotrichia; Erysipelotrichales; Erysipelotrichaceae.